Molecule: non-coding RNA, 3337 nt
Organism: Caretta caretta (loggerhead turtle)
Lineage: Eukaryota; Metazoa; Chordata; Testudines; Cheloniidae
Source: RefSeq, a predicted model, not a curated record
CCUUUUAUAUUAACUUCCCCCCUUGCCGUAGUUCCUGGUCCUCUCCACAAAGGCGUAUGAGCUCUGUGAUUUAACCCUGUCACUGCGCAGACAUUAGCAGAAAGGUUGCAGCUGCAAGUCAGCGAGCGGAGAGACAGCAUGUGCAGACACCAGAAGUGGGCACAGUAUUCCAGCAGAGGUCACACCUAUGCAAAAUACAGAGAUGAAAUAACCUGGUGUACUGCUUUCGUAAGACUCCAUCUUAUUCCCUUAAUGGAUUCUUCCAAACUUUGCACAUGGUAAACAGGACGGGGAUUCAACCACUUGGACUGAAAUUUUGAAGGCCAGGUCCCCAAUCCUGUACUAGUAGAGCCCCUGCCUCUGGAUCCUGUCAGCAGUGUUGGGCGCAUUAUGCCACCCUCAAUUUGCUGCUUGUCUUCCUACCCUCAUUACUCAGCACUGAGUAGUGGGCUUGUCACUGGAGCUGGACAAUGCCCAGAGAACCUGGACAGCAUUAGAUCAGAGGACACAGAUGAAACAGCUCCAAGUUGGUUUUGCUCAUCCCUGAGACAAGGUGUUCAAGAGGAUGCCGAGAGUGAAGACGAGGAUGGCUAUAUGGCUUUAAGUAGGGCAACUGGCAUAGAGCUAUCUGAGGCCAGGUCUACACUUAAGAGUCAGGUUGAACUAGCUAUGUCAGUGUGAAAAAGUCACACCCCUGAUCAAUGUCGUUAAGCCAACCUAACCCCCGUUGUAGAUGCUGUGAGGUCGAGAGAAGAAUAAAGUGCUAUAGUAAUAAAAUGCUAUUAUCCCUGUUGGAUAAUGAAAGGGUUAGUGAACUGUACAAAAUGUGUCUGGGUAAGUGGUCACCCUGACCAAAACCACAGUCUGGCAUGUUUGAGUGGACCCUGGACAAAGCUAAGUGAGAGUGUCUUCUGAUGUGAGUGUCUGCCUGGUGGAAACGACUCAACUUAGGGUCCUAUAUGCUACUAAUUUCCUCUCUGAAGACUUUGCAAGGACAUGGUGCAGAGGAAGCUUUCAUGCACAAGAGGUGGCUUUGAGGCAGGUGAUGGUGCAGAGGUGGCUGUUGCUAGAGCCACAGGGGGCAACACUGUAGCUGAAGAACCCCAACGUAGGCCCCACUACCCAGCAAUCUAAGCUAUUGCCACCACCCCUGUGUCAUGUGGUAAAGUGCCAGAGCAGACCAGGCUGCUCCUUCCCUUUGUGGCUAGAGAUGGAGCUGCACAAACUCUGGACCCCACCAAUCUCAAACAACAAAGAGUGAGUGGGGGGGGGGGAGUGCAGUGAAGAAGUGGGAAGAGGGAAGUGGCUAUUGCAGAAAUACUUUGCCUUACUGGACACUCACACCAGGAGAGGAGGACUCUGUUGAAGACUGUUGUAAGACACUCUGGAGGCAGGGAGAGUCUUAUUUUAUUUAUAUAUAUGUACACAAAUAUUGUUAAUUAAUUAUUACUGGCUUUUCCAAGUUUAUUCUGUUCCCUUUCCCUGACCAGUGGCUUGCCCAUAGGCUGGAGAUCCUGGGGCUAAGGUUGCCCUAAUUUUACAAGCUGAGAAGAAUCAGCCCCACCUGAGAGGAAUCAGUGUUCCUGAUGCCUUUGGCACAUGCUGCCUUAUAGCCUCGAGUCCUAGGGAAGGAAGUUGUGUGUAAAACUUCUCAGCUCCUCAGUUCAUACAUAACAGUUCAUCUUGGAAGGAUUGUCUGUGGGGAUGUUAGACAUUGUCUGGUAUUCAGAGAAGAGUUGGAUGAAGGGUUCCCAGCCAAAGGCUUCCUGAAGCUGAAGAGCAUGAAAAAACAGUAUUAAAAGUGCAUCAUACUUCACUAAGGAUGCUGAUCCCGAACCCAUUGAGGAUUUUGUUGCCAGGAUAUUCAGCCAGAACAUUUCGGCCCUCAUUCUGAGAAGCCCACCACCAAGCCUGACCUCCAAUCAGCAGGCCCCCUCCUUCUGCCACAAACUCAUGAAUCUUCUUGGCCUCAUUGUCACUGUAGGACUGGCAGCAGUAGAUGCUGAGAUUGUCGCACCCAGCCAGUGAAUGGCAUUGAGGAUGAAGUCUGUGAGCUUCGGGGUGCUAAGAUGGACCUCAUGUGUAGCCACCACCACACGGCCCCGGCCAUAGUGAGCUGCUGCAAGAAAGCAUCGAUAGGUGCCAUCCAAGCCAAGGGGGAAGGCCAGUGUGCCAUGGACCAGCAGAUACUCACGGAGCAAUCAAGGGAAUUGCAGGCACUUUGUCUGAGACGCUGAAGAUCCCCCUCUCACCAUAUAUAUCCGUGAAAUAAACGCCGCCCACGCUGGUUACGUGGUUCCCAGGGAAAUCGAACAGCACUCUCUCUGCACUGUGUCCAGAGGCCCAGUGCCAAGCCUGACCCCCAAUGAGCAGACCCCCUCCUCUCUUCACAAACUGGAUCAGCUCCCUCCCCUGUGCUGCAUCAUAGGCAUCCAUACAGUAAACCCCAAAAGAGGCAAUGAGCUCUGUACUGGGCUGCACUUGGGUGCCAGAACUACUGAGAAUGCCCACCAGGGAGCUCAAGGUCUUCUGGACACCAACCACCACUCCUGGGGAGGGACUGAGCCAACCCACAGCAUUGCGUAGGAACCGAGACAUCUUGGGAGACCCCAGGUAGCUCUCAUGGGAGAUGACCACCAUCCGGCCCUUCCCAUACUGUGAGGCGGCAAUCAGGACCUGCCCCCGGGGGUUCACCAUCACUGGGAAGGCAGUCUCACCAAUGAGCAGCAGCUCACAAGGAACAGAGUCACCAGUAAGAUCCCAGUCCUGGACACCAUCCACCAGCAAAUCAUAGGCAGCUGAAGGAUCCAUGUUCAGCUUUGUCUUGUCUACAGGAAAGACAAAUAAUAGUUUUUCUUAUACUAAAGACAGUCAGAAGAGGAGUUAUUUAUCCUUCUUUGCCUCUACUGGAUUAGUGUGAAGGACGCUCAGAUACAAGCACAGGCUACAAUCAACAUGUCUCAUUCCUAGAGAUAGAAAUUUACCUGCCUCCACCUCCUCCCCCACCAGUUGCUCACCGAAAAUGCUUGUUUAGACCCGCUUUGGGGGUAGGUGACUGGGACACUGUCAAACCAGCUCAGGUUAGGAUCAGCGGACGAGUAACCUGUGUAUGAACCUAAAGGCAUGUUGAGAGGCAUUGCAGUUGUAAUCAGGACAAUACACUUGUGUGUGGGCAUCAAAGAGAUACUAAAAGGGAUUAACAGGCUAAGCCCAUUCACAUGUGUUGAUAAGAAAUCAAGGAAGACACUGUGUGUAUGUGUGUCUAUAUCCUGUAACUGUAAUUAAUCUUAAGAUCAAAGGUGUGUACAUACCGCAUGAAUUAAAUGAAUAUUACCUA